GGUGUAUUUGAAGAGAAAGGAGGCUCCUUUGGGGCUCUUUUUACUGCAUUAACAAGGACCAGAGUAGUUUAAGACUCUUUGAGGGGUGUGAAGGAAUUGGCUGUAUUCUUUAAAAUACAUAUAUAUUUUUAAAAGGGUGUGUGUGUGUGUGUGUGUGUGUGUGUGUGUGUGUGUGUGUGUUCCUGAGGGCCUGUGCAAGCAACUGGGCUUUACGACUUGCCCUUUUUGGAGGAUCUGACCCCUACCCUGGAGAGAAUUGAAGAGACACCAAGAAAGGUACAGCUUUUGGUUGCUAUGAUUAUACACACACUCUGUAGAACAGGACACCCCCUUUCUUGAAACCUGAGCCAUGUGGCUAUUGCUGGAAUGUGAAGAGACUUUCUAAGCAUUGGUGCCUUGAUUGGACUAGGAAUUGCUGCCCUUGUUUUACUCGCCUUUGUCAUCAGUGUCUGUGUCCUUUGCUAUUUAUUUCUGUAUACAAAACCUCAAAGAUUAGACACUGGCCUUAAGCUUCAACAAUUAGAGGCUUCUUCCACUCAAGAAGGCAAGUCAAAUGGAAAAACCAAAGCCCUCAAUUCAAAUGCAACAAAUGAAACAUACUAUGAAGCUGAUGAUAUAAUUCAAGAAAAAACAAUGGAUGCAA
This 643-nucleotide small RNA is filed under the name Pongo abelii (Sumatran orangutan). RNAcentral describes it as "processed transcript". Lineage: Eukaryota; Metazoa; Chordata; Mammalia; Primates; Hominidae. The record is from RNAcentral.